RNAcentral lists this ribosomal RNA (406 nucleotides) under uncultured bacterium. RNAcentral's name for it is "bacterial SSU rRNA". It matches the Rfam family "Bacterial small subunit ribosomal RNA", at positions 993 to 1400 of the family's 1533-position model. The record is from RNAcentral.
GCAUACUACUGUAUGGAGGAGCCACCUUCGGUGGCAGGAAGACAGGUGGUGCAUGGGUUGUCGUCAGCUCGUGUCGUGAGAUGUUGGGUUAAGUCCCGCAACGAGCGCAACCCUUAUUGUUAGUUGCUACCAUUUAGUUGAGCACUCUAGCGAGACUGCCCGGGUUAACCGGGAGGAAGGUGGGGAUGACGUCAAAUCAUCAUGCCCCUUAUGUCUAGGGCUACACACGUGCUACAAUGGUCGGUACAAUGAGAUGCAACCUCGCGAGAGUGAGCAAAACUAUAAAACCGAUCUCAGUUCGGAUUGUAGGCUGAAACUCGCCUACAUGAAGCUGGAGUUGCUAGUAAUCGCGAAUCAGAAUGUCGCGGUGAAUACGUUCCCGGGCCUUGUACUCACCGCCCAUACA